CCGUAGCUCAGCUGGAUAGAGUGUCAGAUUCCGAAUCUGAAGGUCGUGGGUUCGAAUCCCGCCGGGAC
This 68-nucleotide transfer RNA is filed under the name marine eukaryotic metagenome. It matches the Rfam family "tRNA", at positions 5 to 66 of the family's 71-position model. Rfam says of the family: Transfer RNA (tRNA) molecules are approximately 80 nucleotides in length. The record is from RNAcentral.